RNAcentral lists this ribosomal RNA (253 nucleotides) under uncultured bacterium. Its description in RNAcentral is "partial 16S ribosomal RNA". It matches the Rfam family "Bacterial small subunit ribosomal RNA", at positions 524 to 776 of the family's 1533-position model. The record is from RNAcentral.
GACAGAGGGUGCAAACGUUGUUCGGAAUUACUGGGUGUAAAGCGCGUGUAGGUGGCAGGCCAAGUCUGUUGUGAAAUCGCCCGGCUCAACUGGGCGCGGUCAAUGGAAACUGGUCAGCUGGAGGACGGUAGAGGCGAGUGGAAUUCCCGGUGUAGUGGUGAAAUGCGUAGAGAUCGGGAGGAACACCAGUGGCGAAGGCGGCUCGCUGGGCCGGUCCUGACACUGAGACGCGAAAGCGUGGGGAGCAAACAGG